This 442-nucleotide ribosomal RNA is filed under the name uncultured bacterium. Its description in RNAcentral is "partial 16S ribosomal RNA". It matches the Rfam family "Bacterial small subunit ribosomal RNA", at positions 338 to 795 of the family's 1533-position model. The record is from RNAcentral.
CCUACGGGAGGCAGCAGUGGGGAAUAUUGGGCAAUGGGCGCAAGCCUGACCCAGCAACGCCGCGUGAAGGAAGAAGGCUUUCGGGUUGUAAACUUCUUUUCUGUGGGACGAACAAAUGACGGUACCCCAGGCAUAAGCCACGGCUAACUACGUGCCAGCAGCCGCGGUAAUACGUAGGUGGCAAGCGUUAUCCGGAUUUAUUGGGUGUAACGGGCGUGUCGGCGGGAAGGCAAGUCAGAUGUGAAAACUCAGGGCUCAACCCUGGGCCUGCAUUUGAAACUGUGUUUCUUGAGUGCUGGAGAGGCAAGCGGAAUUCCGGGUGUAGAGGUGAAAUGCGUAGAUAUACGGAGGAACACCAGUGGCGAAGGCGGACUGCUGGACAGUAACUGACGCUGAGGCGCGAAAGCGUGGGGAGCAAACAGGAUUAGAUACCCCGGUAGUC